RNAcentral lists this microRNA precursor (205 nucleotides) under Oryza sativa Japonica Group (Japanese rice). Its description in RNAcentral is "MIR812 microRNA precursor family". It matches the Rfam family "MIR812 microRNA precursor family". The record is from Rfam by way of RNAcentral. Lineage: Eukaryota; Viridiplantae; Streptophyta; Magnoliopsida; Poales; Poaceae.
AAAGACUCAAUUCCUGGGUUUUCGUGUCCUACGUUUGACUGUUCGUCUUAUAUGAUUUUUUUAAUUAGUAUUUUCAUUGUUGUUAAAUGAUAAAACAUAAAUAAUACUUUAUGUGUGACUUAUUUUUUUAAUUUUUUUUUCAUAAUUUUUUCAAAUAAAACGGACAGUCAAAUGUUGGACACAAAAACUCAGGAAUUGAGUUAUU